Molecule: ribosomal RNA, 200 nt
Filed under: uncultured bacterium
Lineage: Bacteria
Description: partial 16S ribosomal RNA
Rfam family: Bacterial small subunit ribosomal RNA
Source: RNAcentral
AUUGAACGCUGGCGGCAGGCCUAACACAUGCAAGUCGAGCGGUAGAGAGGUGCUUGCACCUCUUGAGAGCGGCGGACGGGUGAGUAAUAUAUCGGAACGUACCCAAGAGUGGGGGAUAACGUAGCGAAAGUUACGCUAAUACCGCAUACGAUCCAAGGAUGAAAGCAGGGGACCGCAAGGCCUUGUGCUCCUGGAGCGGC